Molecule: transfer RNA, 86 nt
Filed under: Desulfovibrionaceae bacterium
Lineage: Bacteria; Pseudomonadati; Thermodesulfobacteriota; Desulfovibrionia; Desulfovibrionales; Desulfovibrionaceae
Description: tRNA-Leu
Rfam family: tRNA
About the family: Transfer RNA (tRNA) molecules are approximately 80 nucleotides in length. Their secondary structure includes four short double-helical elements and three loops (D, anti-codon, and T loops). Further hydrogen bonds mediate the characteristic L-shaped molecular structure. tRNAs have two regions of fundamental functional importance: the anti-codon, which is responsible for specific mRNA codon recognition, and the 3' end, to which the tRNAs corresponding amino acid is attached (by aminoacyl-tRNA synthetases). tRNAs cope with the degeneracy of the genetic code in two manners: having more than one tRNA (with a specific anti-codon) for a particular amino acid; and 'wobble' base-pairing, i.e. permitting non-standard base-pairing at the 3rd anti-codon position.
Source: RNAcentral
GGCUAGAUGGCGGAACGGUAAACGCAGUGGACUCAAAAUCCACCGUCCUUAUGGGCUUGUGAGUUCGAAUCUCACUCUGGCUACCA